Molecule: ribosomal RNA, 133 nt
Filed under: uncultured bacterium
Lineage: Bacteria
Description: partial 16S ribosomal RNA
Source: RNAcentral
AGGUUACGUCAAGACUCACGGCUAUUAACCGUAGGCUUUUCUUCUCUACUGAAAGUGCUUUACAACCCGCAGGCCCUCUUCACACACGCGGCAUUGCUGGAUCAGGCUUGCGCCCAUUGUCCAAUAUUCCCCA